This 94-nucleotide ribosomal RNA is filed under the name Penicillium sp. KH00312. RNAcentral describes it as "partial 18S ribosomal RNA". Lineage: Eukaryota; Fungi; Ascomycota; Eurotiomycetes; Eurotiales; Aspergillaceae. The record is from RNAcentral.
GCAUAGGUUCGAGCAACACUAGUGGGAGGUUGGGCCCCGAAUGGCCCGCACUCGCUAAUUUUCUUCCGUAGGUGAACCUGCGGAAGGAUCAUUA